AACGAACGCUGGCGGCAGGCUUAACACAUGCAAGUCGAACGCCCGCAAGGGGAGUGGCAGACGGGUGAGUAACGCGUGGGAACGUGCCCUUCGCUUCGGAAUAGCCCCGGGAAACUGGGAGUAAUACCGGAUACGCCGUAUUGGGAAAGAUUUAUCGGCGAAGGAUCGGCCCGCGUUAGAUUAGCUAGUUGGCGGUGUAAUGGACCACCAAGGCUACGAUCUAUAGCUGGUCUGAGAGGAUGAUCAGCCACACUGGGACUGAGACACGGCCCAGACUCCUACGGGAGGCAGCAGUGGGGAAGUCUUGGACAAUGGCGGCAAGCCUGAUCCAGCCAUGCCGCGUGAGUGAAGAAGGACCUUAGGGUUGGUUAAAACUACUUUCGUCCGGAGGAAGGAAUAAUAGACGGUAGU
RNAcentral lists this ribosomal RNA (411 nucleotides) under uncultured bacterium. RNAcentral's name for it is "bacterial SSU rRNA". It matches the Rfam family "Bacterial small subunit ribosomal RNA", at positions 29 to 467 of the family's 1533-position model. The record is from RNAcentral.